AGAGUUUGAUCAUGGCUCAGAUUGAACGCUGGCGGCAUGCCUUACACAUGCAAGUCGAACGGCAGCACGGGAGCAAUCCUGGUGGCGAGUGGCGAACGGGUGAGUAAUAUAUCGGAACGUGCCCAGUCGUGGGGGAUAACGCAGCGAAAGCUGUGCUAAUACCGCAUACGAUCUACGGAUGAAAGCGGGGGAUCGCAAGACCUCGCGCGAUUGGAGCGGCCGAUAUCAGAUUAGGUUGUUGGUGGGGUAAAAGCCCACCAAGCCGACGAUCUGUAGCUGGUCUGAGAGGACGACCAGCCACACUGGAACUGAGACACGGUCCAGACUCCUACGGGAGGCAGCAGUGGGGAAUUUUGGACAAUGGGCGCAAGCCUGAUCCAGCAAUGCCGCGUGCAGGAUGAAGGCCUUCGGGUUGUAAACUGCUUUUGUACGGAACGAAACGGUCUGCUCUAAUACAGUGGGCUAAUGACGGUACCGUAAGAAUAAGCACCGGCUAACUACGUGCCAGCAGCCGCGGUAAUACGUAGGGUGCGAGCGUUAAUCGGAAUUACUGGGCGUAAAGCGUGCGCAGGCGGUUAUAUAAGACAGAUGUGAAAUCCCCGGGCUCAACCUGGGACCUGCAUUUGUGACUGUAUAGCUAGAGUGCGGCAGAGGGGGAUGGAAUUUCUGCCGUGUAGCAGUGAAAUGCGUAGAUAUGCGGAGGAACACCGAUGGCGAAAGCAAUCCCCUGGGCCUGCACUGACGCUCAUGCACGAAAGCGUGGGGAGCAAACAGGAUUAGAUACCUGGUAGUCCACGCCCUAACGAUGUCAACUGGGUUGUUGGGUCUUCACUGACUCAGUAACGAAGCUAACGCGUGAAGUUGACUCNCUGGGGAGUACNGCCGCCAGGUUGA
This 894-nucleotide ribosomal RNA is filed under the name uncultured bacterium. Its description in RNAcentral is "bacterial SSU rRNA". It matches the Rfam family "Bacterial small subunit ribosomal RNA", at positions 8 to 897 of the family's 1533-position model. The record is from RNAcentral.